GUGUGGGUUGACAUAUAGCAAGAAGCUUUUCACUUGGGGUUCAUAUGUAUAGGCAUAUAGCAAGAAGCUUUUCACUUGGGGUUCAUAUGUAUAGGCAUAUAGCAAGAAGCUUUUCACCUGGGGUUCGUAUGGAUAGUAAAAAAGGAAUUGUAAUCGACUAGUAAUAGAGUGUUGAGAUUUGUUAUAUGUCUAUACAUUGUAGAAAAUUAUUGUAAAUAUAGAAGGGGGAAAAAAGGGAUUCCGUGUCCCAAAUACCUGUGAUUUAUGCAUUCCUGCGGCUUUCAAAUGAUUGGAUUUGG
Molecule: long non-coding RNA, 299 nt
Filed under: Mytilus galloprovincialis (Mediterranean mussel)
Lineage: Eukaryota; Metazoa; Mollusca; Bivalvia; Mytilida; Mytilidae
Source: RNAcentral